GAUGAACGCUGGCGGCGUGCCUAAUACAUGCAAGUCGAGCGAACAGACGAGGAGCUUGCUCCUUGGACGUUAGCGGCGGACGGGUGAGUAACACGUAUAUAACCUACCUAUAAUACUGGGAUAACUUCGGGAAACCGGAGCUAAUACCGGAUAAUAUUUCGAACCGCAUGGUUCGAUAGUGAAAGAUGGCUUUGCUAUCACUUAUAGAUGGACCUGCGCCGUAUUAGCUAGUUGGUAAGUUAACGGCUUACCAAGGCAACGAUACGUAGCCGACCUGAGAGGGUGAUCGGCCACACUGGAACUGAGACACGGUCCAGACUCCUACGGGAGGCAGCAGUAGGGAAUCUUCGGCAAUGGGCGAAAGCCUGACGGAGUAACGCCGCGUGAGUGAUGAAGGUCUUCGGAUCGUAAAACUCUGUUAUUAGGGAAGAACAAACGUGUAAGUAACUGUGCACGUCUUGACGGUACCUAAUCAGAAAGCAACGGCUAACUACGUG
This 497-nucleotide ribosomal RNA is filed under the name uncultured bacterium. Its description in RNAcentral is "partial 16S ribosomal RNA". It matches the Rfam family "Bacterial small subunit ribosomal RNA", at positions 28 to 507 of the family's 1533-position model. The record is from RNAcentral.